Long non-coding RNA from Peromyscus leucopus (white-footed mouse), 280 nucleotides. RefSeq lists it as uncharacterized. NCBI's taxonomy places the organism in Eukaryota, Metazoa, Chordata, Mammalia, Rodentia, Cricetidae. The transcript is spliced from 3 exons. The record is from RefSeq and is a predicted model, not a curated record.
UUCCACCCAGAAUGCCACAGUUGAUAGGACAACUACAGUGGUCCACCUGAACCAACAGGAGAGGAUUAUCAGCGAGUCCCAGAUGUUAAUCAUGGUGCAGAUGAUUAAUGACAUAGAUGAAUUGAAAGAGUUGUUAAGGGUUGCUGGGAGCAAGCUGGUGGUGGUGGAGUUCUCAGCAGCGUGGUGUGGCCCCUGUAAAAGGGUUGGCCCUAUUUUCCAGGCGAUGUCUUUAAAAUACCAAAACGUCAUGUUUGCUAAUGUGGACGUGGACUCCUCUAAG